RNAcentral lists this ribosomal RNA (2908 nucleotides) under Serratia ureilytica. RNAcentral describes it as "23S ribosomal RNA". It matches the Rfam family "Bacterial large subunit ribosomal RNA". The record is from RNAcentral. Lineage: Bacteria; Pseudomonadati; Pseudomonadota; Gammaproteobacteria; Enterobacterales; Yersiniaceae.
GGUUAAGUGACUAAGCGUACACGGUGGAUGCCUAGGCAGUCAGAGGCGAUGAAGGGCGUGCUAAUCUGCGAAAAGCGUCGGUAAGGUGAUAUGAACCGUUAUAACCGGCGAUACCCGAAUGGGGAAACCCAGUGUGUUUCGACACACUAUCAUGUCAUGAAUACAUAGUGGCAUGAGGCGAACCGGGGGAACUGAAACAUCUAAGUACCCCGAGGAAAAGAAAUCAACCGAGAUUCCCCCAGUAGCGGCGAGCGAACGGGGAGGAGCCCAGAACCUGAAUCGGCUUGUGUGUUAGUGGAAGCGUCUGGAAAGUCGCGCAGCAAAGGGUGAUAGCCCCGUACACUAAAAUGCACAGGUCGUGAGUUCGAUGAGUAGGGCGGGACACGUGACAUCCUGUCUGAAUAUGGGGGGACCAUCCUCCAAGGCUAAAUACUCCUGACUGACCGAUAGUGAACCAGUACCGUGAGGGAAAGGCGAAAAGAACCCCGGCGAGGGGAGUGAAAUAGAACCUGAAACCGUGUACGUACAAGCAGUGGGAGCACCUUCGUGGUGUGACUGCGUACCUUUUGUAUAAUGGGUCAGCGACUUAUAUUUUGUAGCAAGGUUAACCGUAUAGGGGAGCCGUAGGGAAACCGAGUCUUAACUGGGCGACUAGUUGCAAGGUAUAGACCCGAAACCCGGUGAUCUAGCCAUGGGCAGGUUGAAGGUUGGGUAACACUAACUGGAGGACCGAACCGACUAAUGUUGAAAAAUUAGCGGAUGACUUGUGGCUGGGGGUGAAAGGCCAAUCAAACCGGGAGAUAGCUGGUUCUCCCCGAAAGCUAUUUAGGUAGCGCCUCGUGAACUCAUCUUCGGGGGUAGAGCACUGUUUCGGCUAGGGGGCCAUCCCGGCUUACCAAACCGAUGCAAACUCCGAAUACCGAAGAAUGUUAUCACGGGAGACACACGGCGGGUGCUAACGUCCGUCGUGAAGAGGGAAACAACCCAGACCGCCAGCUAAGGUCCCAAAGUCAUGGUUAAGUGGGAAACGAUGUGGGAAGGCAUAGACAGCCAGGAUGUUGGCUUAGAAGCAGCCAUCAUUUAAAGAAAGCGUAAUAGCUCACUGGUCGAGUCGGCCUGCGCGGAAGAUGUAACGGGGCUAAACCAUGCACCGAAGCUGCGGCAGCGACGCUUAGGCGUUGUUGGGUAGGGGAGCGUUCUGUAAGCCGUUGAAGGUGGCCUGUGAGGGUUGCUGGAGGUAUCAGAAGUGCGAAUGCUGACAUAAGUAACGAUAAAGCGGGUGAAAAGCCCGCUCGCCGGAAGACCAAGGGUUCCUGUCCAACGUUAAUCGGGGCAGGGUGAGUCGACCCCUAAGGCGAGGCUGAAAAGCGUAGUCGAUGGGAAACAGGUUAAUAUUCCUGUACUUGGUGUUACUGCGAAGGGGGGACGGAGAAGGCUAGGCUGGCCGGGCGACGGUUGUCCCGGUUUAAGCGUGUAGGGGGUGUGACCUGGUAAAUCCGGUUGCAUGCUAACCCUGAGGCGUGAUGACGAUGCACUACGGUGCAGAAGUAGUUGAUGCCCUGCUUCCAGGAAAAUCCUCUAAGCUCCAGGUAACAUUAAAUCGUACCCCAAACCGACACAGGUGGUCAGGUAGAGAAUACCAAGGCGCUUGAGAGAACUCGGGUGAAGGAACUAGGCAAAAUGGUGCCGUAACUUCGGGAGAAGGCACGCUGGCAUGUAGGUGAAGUCCCUUGCGGAUGGAGCUGAAGCCAGUCGAAGAUACCAGCUGGCUGCAACUGUUUAAUAAAAACACAGCACUGUGCAAACACGAAAGUGGACGUAUACGGUGUGACGCCUGCCCGGUGCUGGAAGGUUAAUUGAUGGGGUCAGCCGCAAGGCGAAGCUCUUGAUCGAAGCCCCAGUAAACGGCGGCCGUAACUAUAACGGUCCUAAGGUAGCGAAAUUCCUUGUCGGGUAAGUUCCGACCUGCACGAAUGGCGUAAUGAUGGCCAGGCUGUCUCCACCCGAGACUCAGUGAAAUUGAACUCGCUGUGAAGAUGCAGUGUACCCGCGGCAAGACGGAAAGACCCCGUGAACCUUUACUAUAGCUUGACACUGAACAUUGAGCCUUGAUGUGUAGGAUAGGUGGGAGGCUUUGAAGCGUGGACGCCAGUCUGCGUGGAGCCAUCCUUGAAAUACCACCCUUUAAUGUUUGAUGUUCUAACUCGGCCCCGUGAUCCGGGGUGAGGACAGUGUCUGGUGGGUAGUUUGACUGGGGCGGUCUCCUCCCAAAGAGUAACGGAGGAGCACGAAGGUUAGCUAAUCACGGUCGGACAUCGUGAGGUUAGUGCAAAGGCAUAAGCUAGCUUGACUGCGAGAGUGACGGCUCGAGCAGGUACGAAAGUAGGUCUUAGUGAUCCGGUGGUUCUGAAUGGAAGGGCCAUCGCUCAACGGAUAAAAGGUACUCCGGGGAUAACAGGCUGAUACCGCCCAAGAGUUCAUAUCGACGGCGGUGUUUGGCACCUCGAUGUCGGCUCAUCACAUCCUGGGGCUGAAGUAGGUCCCAAGGGUAUGGCUGUUCGCCAUUUAAAGUGGUACGCGAGCUGGGUUUAGAACGUCGUGAGACAGUUCGGUCCCUAUCUGCCGUGGGCGUUGGAAGAUUGAGAGGGGUUGCUCCUAGUACGAGAGGACCGGAGUGAACGCACCACUGGUGUUCGGGUUGUCAUGCCAAUGGCAUUGCCCGGUAGCUAAGUGCGGAAAAGAUAAGCGCUGAAAGCAUCUAAGCGCGAAACUUGCCUCAAGAUGAGUCUUCCCUGGGCCUUCAAGGCCCCUGAAGGAACGUUUAAGACUAAGACGUUGAUAGGCUGGGUGUGUAAGUGCAGCGAUGCAUUGAGCUAACCAGUACUAAUGAUCCGUGAGGCUUAACCUU